AUUUUCUUAGUAUAAAAAGUAUUUUUGACUUCCAAUCAAAAGGUCUAGUAUUAUCUAGAGAAAGUA
Molecule: transfer RNA, 66 nt
Filed under: Tetraloides heterodactylus
Lineage: Eukaryota; Metazoa; Arthropoda; Malacostraca; Decapoda; Tetraliidae
Description: tRNA-Gly
Source: RNAcentral